Molecule: ribosomal RNA, 253 nt
Filed under: uncultured bacterium
Lineage: Bacteria
Description: partial 16S ribosomal RNA
Rfam family: Bacterial small subunit ribosomal RNA
Source: RNAcentral
UACGUAGGGGGCAAGCGUUGUCCGGAAUCAUUGGGCGUAAAGAGCGCGUAGGCGGCCCUGUAAGUCCGCUGUGAAAGUCAAGGGCUCAACCCUUGGAUGCCGGUGGAUACUGCAGGGCUAGAGUCCGGAAGAGGCGAGUGGAAUUCCUGGUGUAGCGGUGAAAUGCGCAGAUAUCAGGAGGAACACCGAUGGCGAAGGCAGCUCGCUGGGACGGUACUGACGCUGAGGCGCGACAGCGUGGGGAGCAAACAGG